ACGGGAGGCAGCAGUGGGGAAUAUUGGACAAUGGGGGAAACCCUGAUCCAGCGACGCCGCGUGAGUGAAGAAGUAUUUCGGUAUGUAAAGCUCUAUCAGCAGGGAAGAUAAUGACGGUACCUGACUAAGAAGCUCCGGCUAAAUACGUGCCAGCAGCCGCGGUAAUACGUAUGGAGCAAGCGUUAUCCGGAUUUACUGGGUGUAAAGGGUGCGUAGGUGGCAGGGCAAGUCAGAUGUGAAAGACCGGGGCUCAACUCCGGGGCUGCAUUUGAAACUGUCUUGCUGGAGUGCAGGAGGGGCAAGCGGAAUUCCUAGUGUAGCGGUGAAAUGCGUAGAUAUUAGGAGGAACACCGGUGGCGAAGGCGGCUUGCUGGACUGAUACUGACACUGAGGCACGAAAGCGUGGGGAGCAAACAGGAUUAGAUACCCUGGUA
This 434-nucleotide ribosomal RNA is filed under the name uncultured bacterium. Its description in RNAcentral is "partial 16S ribosomal RNA". It matches the Rfam family "Bacterial small subunit ribosomal RNA", at positions 341 to 792 of the family's 1533-position model. The record is from RNAcentral.